AAGUCGUAACAAGGUUUCCGUAGGUGAACCUGCGGAAGGAUCAUUCUUGAUAAUGUAGCUUAUGCUAUCAUUAAACAUGUGCACCGUUAUUGCCAUUUGGCGGCCGAACGGUCGUCAUCUGGCCACCAUUUUUAAUUUACUAGCAACUAUUUGUGUACCAGUAAUCAUAAAAUCUUAGACAACUUUUAGCAAUGGAUCUCUAGGCUCUC
This 209-nucleotide unclassified non-coding RNA is filed under the name fungal sp. RNAcentral's name for it is "partial internal transcribed spacer region". The stretch from base 1 to 46 matches the Rfam family "Eukaryotic small subunit ribosomal RNA", at positions 1786 to 1831 of the family's 1831-position model. The record is from RNAcentral. Lineage: Eukaryota; Fungi.